Mya arenaria is the source of this 2244-nucleotide RNA transcript. It is a transcript of the gene named cytochrome P450 2C15-like, with no coding region annotated. NCBI's taxonomy places the organism in Eukaryota, Metazoa, Mollusca, Bivalvia, Myida, Myidae. The record is from RefSeq and is a predicted model, not a curated record. The transcript has 11 exons.
UAUUCUUAGUCAGUUAGAUGACCUGAAUUAAAAUCAUUCUGAUUAAGAGUCACGCUCACUCUUAAUCAUUAAGAUUUUAAUUCAUUUUUAUCUAACUAUUGAAUAUGGAUGAAAAUAAGCAGUUUGAUCUGUCAAUUUUAUUAAACGAGGAGUUAAAAUUAACCAUUGAAGCAUUAUUCAAUCACAAUAAUUGGGAUUUUGUUAAAAUUUACAAAUAAAUGAAUGUGAAUGGACAGUCAAAACAACAGGAUGUGUUACAUAAUAAUUUAGAAUAUGAACAUCAGCUGAGGAUGCAUUGCCUUCGACAUCAGAAGGAGCAUUUUGGAAAAUAAUAGUAUAUUAUACAGGAAAAUGAGAAACUAAUGAAAAUGAUGUUUAAGAUGGAACAUGUACAGAGUGUUUAAGUUCACUAUGUGUGACAACACAUGAACAGGCAUGGCUCGGUGUAGAGUCAACACAUGAACAAAAUAGAACAGUUUGCUGAGUGAAAUAUAAAAGUUCUGGUCAAUGUUAGAUCACAGGUAAUGCAUGAACAAUCAAAAGUAUUUAAAACAGAAAGCUAGACUAAUGCAAGGGACAAUGCUGAUGUGACAGUAUUCAGAAUGCAAAGAGAAAUAAUGCCAAGAUGUGUACUUGAAUUGGUCUGAUCGAAAUACCCAAAUACAGCUGGCAUUACCAUAAUGAUAUCACUGUGUUAUAUUCACUGGAAUUUUAUUGUCCCUGUUGUGAGAAAAAAUGCAGCUGAACUCACCAACAUAAAUGAGAUCUUUUAACUUUAAGGAUAGCCCAGAUUUGAGAAUCGAAAGCAACAGUUCGUGACCACCUGUGGACAAUACACAUACUUACCUAGAUACAAUAUUCAAAUGGUGAUAGUGAAAUUUUACCUUAAAGUAAUGAUUACCUAUAUUCAACUGCAGGAAACUUCAUUCGGUGUUAGAGCACUGUCUUAAAUGGCAAGUUGUGACCUAAAUUUGAACCAACGAUAACAUAUUUAUUAAAUACCAUUUGUACGUGGAUGUGAAGUGCUUGGGUGUGAUCUGUUACAAUACAUUGCUCAAAGCAGUCAUCUCAUUUCGUUAUGAGCAAUUUUGAGGUUCCUGGUGUUUUUGCUGCCGUUGUUGCAGGAAGUUUUCUGAAACAUGUUGGUUUGAGACUCACGAGGAAUCGGAACGUUAAGGAAUAUGUCGGAACUGUUUCCCAAAUCAACGUGUAUCCGUUAAAGUCUGCCAAAAAUUUGCAAAAUGUGACGACUGCGAAUAUCACCACACAAGGUUUGAUAUGUGACGGAGUCGGAGACAGGCACUGGAUGGUGACAAGGAAAGGCCACUAUCAAAACAUGUCAGCAUUUCAACGCCUGAUUCUCAUCCAAACGACUAAAGAAGGAAGCUUUUUCAGGCUGGACGCAGAAGGAAUGGAACCGUUGAGGCUGCCUCUCGACCCAGAAGUAACCGGUGACAACCUGGUCGAAGUAAAAGUAAAGUUCGUACCACAGAGAGCCGUGGAUUGUGGAGAUGCUGCUGCACAGUGGAUCAGUACGUUCCUGAAGAAGGAAGGAUUACGGCUUAAUUACUCUCCUCCAUCUUUGUCGAAAAGAUUUUCAACAGAUGUUCCAAAGGAGUGGACAACGGAUGCAAAACCUGGAGAAGAGGUUGCCUUCCAGGACUUUGCCCAUUGCAUGAUCAUGUGCGACUCUUCAGUCGAAGAACUAAGCAAAAGAGUUCAAAGGAAUGUCCCUGCUAUCCAGUUCAGACCAAAUGUGUUGGUCAGCGGAACAACGCCAUUUGAUGAGGACACUUGGAAGUAUGUUUUUAUUGGUAAACAUAUAAAGAUGCGAUUUAUUGACGAUUGCCAAAGAUGUAUCAUUACAACUAUUGACACUAUAAAUGCUGAAAAGGACAAACAAGGGCAACCCUUGAAAACGUUAAAAACGUUUCGGUGCAAAGAACCAUUUGGACCAAUGAAACCGGUGAUGGGUAUUCACACAAACACUGAAAAAGAAGGAACUGUUAACGUUGGAGAUCCUGUAUUUGAUGGAGGUUUGACAAAGGGUGGAAUUUAGACAACGAAAUUUGCACUUUGACUAAAUCUUCUUUACGUUUGCUGAAAUGAAAGGGUGCAGUACCUUUAGAGACAGAAUGUGGAAUGUCAUAUUUGUGGACGGGAGUUACCUGACUAUUGGGUUACUUACGUUAGCGUUUUCAUUGAUAUGUCGCCAAUUGAUGACCACCAAGAAAAAGGAUCGCC